This is a non-coding RNA of Phascolarctos cinereus (koala), 989 nucleotides long. The record is from RefSeq and is a predicted model, not a curated record. Lineage: Eukaryota; Metazoa; Chordata; Mammalia; Diprotodontia; Phascolarctidae.
UUGGUGGGCGAAAAUCUCCGUCUGGGCCACUCCAAAGGGUGUAAAGGAGUGGAGGGAAGGGAAACAAUUCACAAACACAAACUUUGUUUCUUUGGGGACUUGGGCGAAGUCGUCACUUCCUAGUGGUGCAAGGGGAGACUCUCAGUCUGGAUCCCUAUAACCCAACAACUCCUGCCGCCGCCCCCUGCAGCUGCUACUGCUGCUGCUGCUCCUGCUCCAGUUCCAGGCGAAACUGCAGAUGUGACUGAGCAGCUCGUCUCUCUCGCUGGAGCCCUCGGAGCUUCAGGAUCAGGGGCACCCGGACAGCUGCAGAUUUAUAUUUUCUCUCCACGGCCUUACGGUUGUCCCUUUGUCCCAAAUAGCAUCUCUCUGGACCUUACGUGCUCAGUGCUGUUCUGCGGGUAGAAGGAGGAAGUGAAAGCCGCCUUGGUACGGCUUUGCAGCGACACGGCCUCCCUGGGAAAGGCUUGUUCUGGCGAUGUUUUCAUGUUUCAAGUGUUGCUACAGCUUCCAUGCUGGUGCAGCUCCAUUCUCCGUUGCUUUGCUGUUUGGAACUGGCUUCUUAGUUUGGGAAGGCGCUUCUCGGGGUUUCUGGAACUAUGGAUUUAUUCUGGAGCUCGAAGUGACCUAGAAGAAAUGAAGUCCCUGGAAACUCUGAAACGUCACACACAUGCACAAAGCACAAGUGAUAAAGGAAUGGUGGAGGAAGAAGAGACAUUUAAAAAAAAUCCAACUAACUUUAGCUGUUAGCCAAAUCCUUAAGCCGGGUCAGUCAGGGAGGUUUCAGCAAUGAAGGAGGAAAUGGAGAGAAGUAUAUCCAGAAAUAACCUUGAUGUAAAAACAACUUUUAAAAUAUAAACAUACAUAUGUAUGUAUACAUAUAUGUGUAUAUGUGUGUGUGUGUGCGUGUAUGUGUAGUAGAGAACAGGUUGUGUUCAUUGGAAGCAUUGUUCAAUUUCCAAUGUGUGACCCAGCACACCCCUUCCUUC